Molecule: ribosomal RNA, 843 nt
Filed under: uncultured bacterium
Lineage: Bacteria
Description: bacterial SSU rRNA
Rfam family: Bacterial small subunit ribosomal RNA
Source: RNAcentral
UUGUGCCAGCCGCCGCGAAAUACGUAGGGUGCGAGCGUUAAUCGUAAUUACUGGGCGUCCAGUUACAUCAGGUUUUUUCGUAAGCUGGAGGUGAAAUCCCCGGACUUAACCUGUGACUGGCCUUCAGGACUGCGAGGCUAGAGUGCGGAAGAGGGAGGUGUUAUUCCACGUGUAGCAGUGAAAUGCGUAGAGAUGUGGAGCAACACCGAUGGAGAAGGCCGCCUCCUGGGCCAGCACUGACGCUCAUGCACGAAAGCGUGGGGAGCAAACAGGAUUAGAUACCCUGGUAGCCCACGCCAUAAACGAUGUCAACUAGGUGUGGGGGAAGGUGAUUCUCUUAGUACCGCAGCUAACGCGUGAAGUUGACCGCCUGGGGAGUACGGCCGCAAGUUUAAAACUCAAAGGAUUGGACGGGGACCCGCACAAGCGGUGGAUGAUGUGGAUUAUUUCGAUGCAACGCGAAAAACCUUACUUACCCUUGACAUGCUUGGAACCCUGCUGAGAGGUGGGGGUGCCCGAAAGGGGAGCCGGGACACAGGUGCUGCAUGUAUGUCGUCAGCUCGUGUCGUGAGAUGUUGGGUUAAGUCCCGCAACGAGCGCAACCUGUGUCGUUAUUUGCCACCAUUUAGGUGGGGCACUUUAACGAGACUGCCGGUGACAAACCGGGAGAAGGGUGGGAGAUGACGUCAAGCUCUUCAUGGCCUAUAUGGGGAGGGUCUUCACACGUCACACAAUGGCCGCAUACAGAGUGGUGAGAAGCCCGCGAGGAGACGCACACUCCCAAAAAGUGCGUCGUACUGCAGGGAUGCAGUCUGCCACCUCGACUGCAUGAAGGCGUCAAUC